RNAcentral lists this ribosomal RNA (459 nucleotides) under uncultured bacterium. RNAcentral's name for it is "SSU rRNA". It matches the Rfam family "Bacterial small subunit ribosomal RNA", at positions 26 to 518 of the family's 1533-position model. The record is from RNAcentral.
AGAACGAACGCUGGCGGCAUGCCUAACACAUGCAAGUCGAACGCUCACCGGGCUUCGGUUCGGUGGGAGUGGCGCACGGGUGAGUAGCGCGUGGGAACCUGCCCUGUUGUGGGGGAUAACCGAGGGAAACUUCGGCUAAUACCGCAUGCGCCCGGGGAAACCCGGGGAAAGAUUUAUCGCAGCAGGAGGGGCCCGCGUCGGAUUAGGUAGUUGGUAGGGUAACGGCCUACCAAGCCUUUGAUCCGUAGCUGGUCUGAGAGGAUGAUCAGCCACACUGGGACUGAGACACGGCCCAGACUCCUACGGGAGGCAGCAGUGGGAAUAUUGGACAAUGGGCGCAAGCCUGAUCCAGCAAUGCCGCGUGAGUGAUGAAGGCCUUAGGGUUGUAAAGCUCUUUCGCCCGCGACGAUGAUGGCGGUAGCGGAGAAGAAGCCCGGCUAACUUCGUGCCAGCAGCCGC